This 6615-nucleotide long non-coding RNA is filed under the name Nicotiana benthamiana. Its description in RNAcentral is "long non-coding RNA (NBEN_LNC009590)". The record is from RNAcentral. Lineage: Eukaryota; Viridiplantae; Streptophyta; Magnoliopsida; Solanales; Solanaceae.
AAUUAUAGUUCGUGUGAACAUAAAAGCACAUCAAUAAGUUCCUAAUACUUUUUGUGGAGCAAUUUAAGAUGAUCAACUCACAAUAUAUAACAUUGGAAUCCUAGAAAGGAAAUAAAAAUAAUCAAAGAAAACAUAAUUUAGGCAUAAAUUGAACCCUAGCAAUUGAAGCAUGCAGUAGAAUGGAUCAAUAAUGAUAGGAAGAUUCUAGAGUGACAACAAGAGAAAAGGUUUCAUUUCAAAUAGUACAGAUACACAUGUUUAUUGUUCUUACAUAGAAUAGUAUUAACCCCUUUUAACAAACUAACAUUACUAACUUCUCUAACUUUCUAUAUUUACAAACUGACCCCUAGAGUAUAUAAUCUAUUAUAACACUCCCCAUCAAGCUGGAGGGUGAAAUAUAUCGAGCAAUCCUAGCUUGCUUGAGUAACUUGUGCUGGGCUGCCCAAGUCUUUUUGUUAUCAGGUCUACCAUUUGUCGCCUUGUGGGGAUGUAGUUGGUUGUGAUUACCCUUCCUUUGAUUCUUUCCCUUACAAAAAGUGAGUCAAUUUCUACGUGCUUUGACCUUUCAUAAAAAAUUAGAUUUGCUGCAAUUUACAAGGCUACCUUACAGUCACAAUAUAUAUGUAUAGGUUCCUUUAAUUUGUUUCCUAGUUCUUUCAGUAAAGCUUCCAUCUGCAUGAGCUCUGCUACAGCUACUGCCAUACUUCUGUAUUCUACUUCUACAGUGCUUUUACUGACACUGUUGCUUCUUUGAUUUCCAAGAUAGCAGGGAAUCUCCAAGUUUCACCACAUAACUUAUGACUGACCUCCUGGUGUUUGGGCAGGCUGCCCAAUAUGAGUCAUAAUAUAUUGUGAGAUCACUAGCAAUUCCACCUUUCAACAGAAUCCCCAAUCUUGGACUCUCCUUUAACAUAUGUGACAACUGUCAAAGUAGUUUCCAUAUGUGACUCUUUAGGAUGUUGCAUGAAUUGGCUCAAUACUUGGACUGCAAGGCAUAUGUCUUGCCUUGAAAUUGUCAAGUACAACAGGUUGCCAAUUAAUAUUGAUAGCUACCGGCUUCCUGCAAUUCUGCAUCAUUAACAUUGCUAACAUGUUUAUCAUAGUCAACUGUGGUGAGCUUGUGAUUUUGUUCCAUUGGUGUUGAUACUAGCUUCCAAGCACUUAGACGAACUUCUAAGAUUAAUUGUAAGGCAUACUUUCUCUGAUUGAGUAAAAUACCCUUGUUGGAUCUCAUCACUUCAAUUCCCAAGGAAAUAUAAGCUCCUUUAGGCACAUCAUCUUAAAGUUGUUGUAAAGUCUCAUUCGCUUCAUGUAUUAGGCUACUACUACUUUUUGAUAUUAAAAGAUCAUCCACAUAUAGUAACAUAAUAGAAAUAACUGUUCUGACAGUUACCAUCUUAACAACAGUGGAAAAAGUUUUAUGAUAGUCAAAGCUUUCCUGUUGUGUGUAGCCCUUAGCUACUAAUCUAGUUUUAAAUCUAUCAACCUUACCAUUGAUCUUGUACUUGAUUUGUAUAUCUACUUGGACCCAAUAGCUUGUUUAUUAGGUGGAAGAUCUAUAAUCUCCCAUGUAUGAUUGUCUUCUAAGGCUUGGAUCACUUGUUGCAUUACAAGCACCCAAUCUUGAUUUGAUGCUACACUCUUUGUAUGAUAUAGGUUCUGCUAAAGCAGAAAAAGCUUCAAGAUAGGUCAGAUAAGUAGCUAGAAGUUGAUCGUAAAACAGAUGAUUGGACAUAGAAUAGAUAUUUUUACCUGGUAGUUUAGUUGUAACAUAAUCCUUGAGCCAGAUUGGUUACUUGGUUUGUAUGUGAGAUCUUGUGGUUUCAAUAGUUGUAAUAGGUUAAGAUACGUCACGAGUUGGAGGUGAAUUGACAAAUAGAUAAUUUACAAGAGAUGGGAAGGUUGAUCCCUCCACCCGUGAAGGAACAGAUUAUUAGUCUUAAGUAAUAGGUAAGAGUCUCAAGAGCAUGAAGGUCUACUGUUGAUUCAGGAUCUGUAAAGGCUUCAUGUUCUAUUAAGGCAGGUGCAGAAUUAUCAUCCUUAUCUUGUGGAGUUGAUGAUGAUGGAGGAGGUAAACUAGGAUCAACAUAAUUCAUUGUAGACUGAGAAAAUAACGAUUCUUCAUCAUGAAUGUUAGAAGUCGGUUUGAAAGGGAAAGCAUAUUUUUGAAAUUUGUAAUCCCUGCUAACAAAAAUUGUAUGAGUAUCAAGAUCAUAUUUCCUAUAACCUUUUAAUGUCUCAUAGUAUCUAACAAACAUUGCUAUCCUUACUUUGGGGGUAAACUUAUCUCUUUUAUGAAGAUUACAACUAAAGCUUUGACAUUCAAACACUCUUAAAUGAUCCAGAUUAGCUGACUUCCCAUAGAGCAUUACAUAGGGUAUCUAUCCUUGCAAUACUGGUGUUGAUAGUUUAUUAAUCAAUUAUGUAGCAGUGAGGUUGUGAGUUCGAGUGUACCCAAGAGCAAGGUGGGAAGUUCUUGGAGGGAAGAUGCCGGGGGUCUAUUUGGAAACAGCCUCUCUACCCAAGGGUAGGGGUAAGGUCUGCGUGCACACUACCCUCCCCAGACCCAGUUCGAGUGUACCCAAGAGCAAGGUGGGAAGUUCUUGGAGGGAAGAUGCCGGGGGUCUAUUUGGAAACAGCCUCUCUACCCGAGGGUAGGGGUAAGGUCUGCAUACACACUAGCCUCCCCAAACCUCACUAAGUGGGAUUAUACUGGGUUGUUGUUGUUGUAUGUAGCAGUGCUAACACACCUUCCCCAGAAGUUGAGAGGUACCCCACUUUGAAAUUCUAGAGCUCUAGCAACAUCUAGAAUAUGCCUAUAUUUUCUAUCUAUACCAUUUUUUUAGCAGUAUAUGGGCAGUUACUUUAGUGUAUAAUUCCAUUUUCAACUAACAAUACAUUACAUUUGACAUUAAAAAAAUAAAUGUGUCAUUGUCUGAUCUCACGGUCUUGAUUCUAAAAUAAAACCGUGUCUUUAUUAUUGAGAUAAAAUCCUUCAAUACAAUACACACUUCACACUUAGAUUGUAUUAAGCAUACUCAUAUGUAUCCAGUAAAAUCAUCAAUAAUACAACAACCCAGUAUAAUCCCACUUAGUGGGAUCUGGGAAGGGUAGUGUGUACACAGACCUUACCCCUACCCUAGGGUAGAGAGGCUGUUUCCAAAUAGACCNNNNNNNNNNNNNNNNNNNNNNNNNNNNNNNNNNNNNNNNNNNNNNNNNNNNNNNNNNNNNNNNNNNNNNNNNNNNNNAAAUAGACCCCCGUCAGCCUUCCCUCCAAGAACUUCCUACCUUUGCUCUUGGGGAGACUCGAACUCACAACCUUGCGGUUGGAAGUGGGGGUUGCUUACCAUCAGAGCAACCCCUCUUGUCACAAAGUAAUACUUUCUGUCAUGUAUAUGUGUUUUGUAAGACCCCCACACAUCUAAAUGAACGAGCUGAAAUGCUACUUUAGAUUUGCUUACACUAUUACAAAAUUGCAAUCUACUUUGUUUAGCUAGAGGACAGAUGCUACAAUUUCUUGAUUUUCUUGCACAUAUCUUGUUUUGUAGCGAUGAGAUAUGUUGUAUAGAAUUCCAGGAUGCAUUCCAUAGAUGUGUUUGUUCUUCUUUCAUUACUACACCUACUAUUAUGCCUUAUAUUUGUGCAUAUUCCCUUAGUAUGUAUAGAACAUCAAACACUCUACCAAUCCCCAAUAUCUUUCCCAUGUAGUAUCCCUGUAACACAUAAAAAUCGUGGAAGAACUUCACUGUGCAAGUGAGGUCUCUAGUUACUUUUGGUGCUGAUAGCAAAUUAACUUGAAAUGUGGCACAUGUAACACAUCCUUUAUACAUUGCUCUCCUAAAAUAGUAGCAUUUCCAUUAUACAUUAUUACUUUAUUUCUGGCGGGCAAUUGAACUCCUUGGCCUCUAACUUUCUUUGUAUCACUCGUUAUAUCAUUAUCAUGAGUAAUACGAUGGCUUGCCCCUAAAUCUACUAUCCAACUAUUUAAGGGAACAAUGGAUAGUAAGUCAUAAUACCUGUCAUAUUAGUGGAGCAUUCUCCUCCUCCUUGUUUGUUUAGUGGCCCUACAAGCUGCUCAUACUGUUAUUCAGAGAGGAAAUAACCUUGUGGCUGAGUACUUGUCCCUCAUGUUUCUUCAAUUCUGGCAGCAUUAGCAAAGGUUCUAUUUGAUCCUAGCUGAGGUGAUGAAUAUCCAACAUAUAUGAAUUUUAAAUUCGUACCUUAUCAAAUUAUAGUAUUAAAAGAUGUCGAUCUCACAGAGAUUGGUCUACUUAUUCUACAAAUGGUUCUUGUUUUAAUUACUGUUUGAGAGAAUUAGAAAAGUUGAGUUGAGAGUUAACUAGCAAACAUGAACAAACAAACCGUAAAGAAAAGUAUUUUUAUUAUUUUUAUGUUGGGAUCUUUAUUUCACUUGAUAAUUCGAUUAUAAAGCAUAUAUUUAGUUUCCAGUAUUCUUACAAAAUGCAUAAAUACCUCUCUCGAUUACACUUGUACAUGAUUACUUAAAUUGAACAAUUAAGAGCAUUUCUCUUGGUUAUACAUAUUAGUUAUCAAGAUAAUAAUAUUAAAGAACCAGAAAUAUAUACUUGAAUUGAAACAUGCUCUUUUCCAAAGCAAGUCCCUUUUGGUUACUUUACUUUUUAUAACUUGAAUUUUAAACUAUUUGACUCUUUCGAUUUCAGAUUAGUAUAAAAUCCAAUUAUAACCGAAACAGUUAGAUGUGAUUAAAUAAACGUCAAACACUUAUGAACACCACUAUUAACCUUAUUACCCCUUCCAUCUCUCUCGAUUACAAAAUGAAUAACAAAUUAGUUUGCAAUACAAAGUGAAUAGGUGUGAUUAAACUAAAUAAAAUCUAACUAUACAAGUUGGUAAAAUUAUAAAUUGAAAGUUUCAAAUCAAGCAAGUAAAACUGAAAAAUAAACUUUCACUAUUAUAUAAAAUUAUCGAGAUCCAUCAUUCUCCCAACAUAAGAUAGUUACUUCAUAUUGGAGCUAGUAUUAUCUACAAAAAUAUUCAUGUCCACUAAAUAAGAAAAUAGAAAAAAAUAUUCAAUAAGAACAAUUUCGCUUAUUUAAUUAAAAAUAGAAACUAAAAUAAUUUUUAACCUUGAAACUUAUUUAGAACUGAAAUGGAAGUGUAGCAACCAAUAUGGUCUACGAAGAUGAUUAAAAACUAAAAUAAACUUUGCAAGAGGAAUGAUUUAAAAUCUGCAUGAUUACUUCUGGAGAGAUUGGUAAUGUCCAUUUUAUAGCCAUGAGGUAACUUGAUGGUAAUCGUUUUGCUUUGUUAGAAAUAGCUAGGUUUUGGUUGAAAUGGUUUUUUGGCCUUUUAGUUGUAAUUUGGUUGCAUAAUAUCUUUCAUUUCCUUUUCUUGAUACGUUCUCCUUCUUGCUUUUUUACUUUGUUCUAUUUCUUCCUUGAAAUCUUUCUUGACCUUGCACCACUACUUUUGCACUCUUUUUUUGCAUUAUUUAGUUAAAUAUAUGAAAAAUAUUUGAUAAUUUUUAUACUUUUAUAAGGAUAAUCGUAUAUUUAAAAUCUAGAAAAAUGUACUUAUCAUGGGGAUUCUUUUUGCUUUUAAAAUCUACUGGGUAGCUAACAACUUUAUAGCAGUUUUCUUUUAAUGUCCCUUAUAAUCACUAUGUUCACAAAUCAGUCCAAAGUUCUUAGUUUUAAAACCUUAUCCUUUUUCUGCGAACAUAGUCAAUGGAUCACUAUUUGAAUCGACUAUACCCAAUGUCCUUUGACUCUCCUCCUGUAUCACUAUAGCAUAUGCUUUAUUUUCCGUCACCACUGACCUUUUGAGCAGAACAUUGCUUCUCAUAUUGUUGUAGAUCUCAUUCAGGCCCAUGAGAAACUGCAAAAGUCUCUGAUUUCUGAAAUGUUCUAAUGAAGGCCUCGAUUCUUCACAAUCAUAGGAAGGCAGAGGCAUUAACACAUCCAAUUUUUUCCAUAAAUCUAACAUUUUUGUAUAGUAAGCAGUCACAAAAUUUGUGCCCUAUUAAAGACUAACAAUCUCUGUCCAAAGAUGAUAUAUCCUAGUCAAACUACAUUUAUUAAAUUUUUCCUUAAAGUCACUUCAUACUUUCCUAGCAUUAGAUGCAAAAACAAUGUUUGGCAUCAAUGCUUGGAAAACAAUGCUUUCCUUCCAAUUCUCCUCUACAUGAGAUUUUUACACAUGUUCCAUCUACAAAUCCAAGCUUGCCUUUCUCCCUAGGUUAUAGUUUCAUUGCCGACUCCAUAGGGCAUAAUUUUUUGGCCUUGUGAGCUUAAUUAGAACUAAAACCAAAUCUAGUGCAUCUGCUGCUUGAAGAAAUAGAGUUAUGCUUGAGUGAGGUUACCUCGUUUCCUGCCAUGGCGAAUUGGAGUUGUGCUUCGUCGCCAAUGAAUUUCUCCAAAUUUUAGCUGCCUUGCGAGAACUCCUCGUCGGAGCUGACUUCCUCAGGUUCGCCGUUCUGAUACCAUGUCAAUUUACACAGAUUCUGUGUACAACCCUUGCAAUUGGCAUGUAGUAGAAUGAAUCAAUAAUGAGAGGAAGAUUCUAGAGAGAAUGGGUUUCGUUUCAAGUAGUACAUACACACGCGUCUAAUGAUCUAAUAUACAACAGUAUUAC